GUGCUUGCUUCCACGGUGCAUAUACUAACAUCGGAACAAUUCAGAGAUUAGCAUGGUCCCUGAGCAAGGAUGUCAUGCAAAUGUGAGAGCGUUCUCUCUCUCUC
Small nuclear RNA from Zalophus californianus (California sea lion), 104 nucleotides. Lineage: Eukaryota; Metazoa; Chordata; Mammalia; Carnivora; Otariidae. The record is from Ensembl.